AAUGUACUCCCUCCGUCUGGAAAUACUUGUCAUCAAAAUGGAUAAAAAGAUAUGUAUCUAGAACUACAAUACAUCUAGAUACAUCCCCAUUUAUCUAUUUUGAUAACAAGUAUUUCCGGACGGAGCGAGUAAAUA
Triticum urartu is the source of this 135-nucleotide non-coding RNA. The record is from Rfam. NCBI's taxonomy places the organism in Eukaryota, Viridiplantae, Streptophyta, Magnoliopsida, Poales, Poaceae.